RNAcentral lists this ribosomal RNA (481 nucleotides) under uncultured bacterium. RNAcentral describes it as "partial 16S ribosomal RNA". It matches the Rfam family "Bacterial small subunit ribosomal RNA", at positions 28 to 507 of the family's 1533-position model. The record is from RNAcentral.
GACGAACGUUGGCGGCGUGCUUAAUACAUGCAAGUCAACUGAAGCAGUGGUAGCAAUAUCGCUGUGGAGGUGGCGCACGGGUGAGUAACACGUAGGUAAUCUGCCUUCAGGUCUGGCAUAACUCCGGGAAACCGGGGCUAAUAGCAGAUGAUGCAGCGGCUCGACAUCGAGACAGUUGUUAAAGCUAUGGCGCCUGAAGAUGAGCCUGCGUCUGAUUAGCUAGUUGGCGGGGUAACGGCCCAACAAGGCAACGAUCAGUAGCUGGUCUGAGAGGAUGAUCGGCCACACUGGAACUGAGACACGGUCCAGACUACUACGGGAGGCAGCAGUAAGGAAAAUGGCUCAAUGGGAGAAAUCCUAAAGCAGCAACGCCGCGUGAGGGACGAAGGGCGUUUGCUUGUAAACCUCUGUAGUGAGAGAAAAAAAUCCCAAUCUGUGGGACAUGAUGGUAUCUCAAAAGUAAGCCCCGGCUAACUACGUG